UACAGUGGUCUCAAGCGUUGUUCGGAUUCAUUGGGCGUAAAGGGUGCGUAGGCGGCGCGGUAAGUCGGGUGUGAAAUCUCGGAGCUUAACUCCGAAACUGCAUUCGAUACUGCCGUGCUUGAGGACUGGAGAGGAGACUGGAAUUUACGGUGUAGCGGUGAAAUGCGUAGAUAUCGUAAGGAAGACCAGUGGCGAAGGCGGGUCUCUGGAUAGUUCCUGACGCUGAGGUGCGAAAGCGUGGGGAGCAAACAGG
RNAcentral lists this ribosomal RNA (253 nucleotides) under uncultured bacterium. RNAcentral describes it as "partial 16S ribosomal RNA". It matches the Rfam family "Bacterial small subunit ribosomal RNA", at positions 524 to 776 of the family's 1533-position model. The record is from RNAcentral.